This 1399-nucleotide ribosomal RNA is filed under the name Praezygaena agria. RNAcentral's name for it is "16S ribosomal RNA". The record is from RNAcentral. Lineage: Eukaryota; Metazoa; Arthropoda; Insecta; Lepidoptera; Zygaenidae.
AAAUUUAAAAUUAAUAAUUAAAUUUAUAAUAAAAUAAUUUUUAAAUUUAAAUUAAAUUGUUAAAGUAUAUUUUAUAGAAAAAAUUAAUAUUUUUAUAGUGAAUAAGUAAUGUGAAAGAAUUUUGAAAUAAUAUUGAAAAUUUAUUUUUAAAAAAGUAAAUUUAAUUUAUUGUAUCUUGUGUAUCAGAGUUUAUUAAUAAAAAUUUUUAUUUAAAAAUUUCUCGAAUUAAAAAGAGUUAUUAAAUUAUAAAAUUUAUUGUUUCAUAAAUAUUUUAAAUAAUUUAAUUGAAAUGAAAUGUUAUUCGUUUUUUAAGAUAUCUAGUUUUUUUAGAAAAAAAUUUAAUUUUAAAUUUUAAAAAUUAAAUAAUUUUUUAAUUAAAAUAAUUAAUUUAAUUUAAUAUUUUUAUAUUUUAAGGGAUAAGCUUUAAAAUAAAUUUUUAUAAAAUAAUUUAUUAAAGAUUUAAAAAUUUUAUAAUUUAUAUUGUUAAUAAAUUUUAAUUUAUUAUAAAUAAUUUUAAUAGAAUAAAAAUUUAAUUUAUUUUUAAUUUUUUAUAAAAAUUAAGAAAUUAAUAAGAUAUUUUUAGUAAUAAUGAUAAAAUUAGUAUAUAAUUAAUUAAUUAAAAUAUUAUUAUUAAUGAAAAAUUAAUUAAAAAGAAUUCGGCAAAUUUAAAUAAAUUAUAUUCACCUGUUUAUCAAAAACAUGUCUUUUUGUUAAUAAUUUAAAGUCUAAUCUGCCCACUGAUUUAUUAAAGGGCUGCAGUAUUUUGACUGUACAAAGGUAGCAUAAUCAUUAGUCUCUUAAUUAGUGACUUGUAUGAAUGAUUGGAUGAAAUAUAAUCUGUUUCUUAAUUAGUUGUAAAAUUUAAUUUUUUUAUUAAAAAGUAAAAAUAAAUUUAAAAGACGAGAAGACCCCAUAGAGUUUUAUAAAAUUAAUUAUUAUUGAUUAUUUUUUAGAUUUUUAAAUAAAAUUUUUAAUUUUAUUUUGUUGGGGUGAUGAAAAAAUUUAAUAAACUUUUUUUUAAAAAUUUCCAUUAAUAAGUGAGUAUAUGAUCCAUUAUUAUUGAUUAAAAGAAAAAAUUACCUUGGGGAUAACAGCGUAAUUUUUUUUUCUAGUUCGUAUAGGAAAAAGAGUUUGCGACCUCGAUGUUGGAUUAAGAUAAAAUUUAAAUGUAAAAGUUUAAAAUUUUGAUCUGUUCGAUCAUUAAAAUCUUACAUGAUCUGAGUUCAAACCGGUGUAAGCCAGGUUGGUUUCUAUCUUUAAAUAAAAAUAAAUAUUUUAGUACGAAAGGAUCAAAUAUUUGAAAUAAUUUUUAAAAAAAAAAAAUGAAUUUUAUUAAAUUAAUUUAAAAUUUUAAAAAAAAAAUAAUAUAUAUAUAUAUAUAUAUAUAUAUAUAUAAAAA